CCAAAUCAACGGCCGAAAGGCCUUGCCCUAGGGGGGAAACCCCCGACGGUAAACCCUUUGUGAAAACCCUUCGUUUGCCUCGGCGGCACCUUUUAGUUAAGGGUCAGCCCGCCGACGGCACCAACCAAAACUCUUGUUUGAAUUGAAGAAUGUCUGAAUCAAUGGUCGAAUGACUAUA
Molecule: unclassified non-coding RNA, 178 nt
Filed under: uncultured fungus
Lineage: Eukaryota; Fungi
Description: sequence contains ITS1, 5.8S rRNA gene
Source: RNAcentral